CCUACGGGUGGCAGCAGUGGGGGAUAUUGCACAAUGGGGGGAACCCUGAUGCAGCGACGCCGCGUGGGUGAAGGAGUGCUUCGGCAUGUAAAGCCCUAUCGGCAGGGAAGAAGCAAGACGGUACCUGACUAAGAAGCCCCGGCUAACUACGUGCCAGCAGCCGCGGUAAUACGUAGGGGGCGAGCGUUAUCCGGAUUCACUGGGUGUAAAGGGAGCGUAGACGGCCAUGCAAGCCAGGGGUGAAAGCCCGGGGCCCAACCCCGGGACUGCCCUGGGAACUGUGCGGCUAGAGUGCGGGAGGGGCAGGCGGAAUGCCUGGUGUAGCGGUGAAAUGCGUAGAUAUCAGGAGGAACACCGGCGGCGAAGGCGGCCUGCUGGACUGCGACUGACGGUGAGGCUCGAAAGCGUGGGGAGCGAACAGGAUUAGAUACCCCUGUAGUC
Molecule: ribosomal RNA, 441 nt
Filed under: uncultured bacterium
Lineage: Bacteria
Description: partial 16S ribosomal RNA
Rfam family: Bacterial small subunit ribosomal RNA
Source: RNAcentral